This 228-nucleotide ribosomal RNA is filed under the name uncultured bacterium. RNAcentral describes it as "partial 16S ribosomal RNA". It matches the Rfam family "Bacterial small subunit ribosomal RNA", at positions 568 to 795 of the family's 1533-position model. The record is from RNAcentral.
UACGUAGGCGGAAAAUUAAGUCAGUAGUGAAAUCCUGCAGCUUAACUGUAGAACUGUUAUUGAUACUGGUUUUCUUGAAUAUAGUUGAGGUAGGCGGAAUGUGUAAUGUAGCGAUGAAAUGCUUAGAUAUUACACAGAACACCGAUUGCGAAGGCAGCUUACUAAGCUAUGAUUGACGCUGAGGUACGAAAGCGUGGGGAGCGAACAGGAUUAGAUACCCUGGUAGUC